UACGUAGGGUGCAAGCGUUAUCCGGAAUUAUUGGGCGUAAAGAGCUCGUAGGCAGUUUGUCGCGUCUGCUGUGAAAACUGGAGGCUCAACCUCCAGCCUGCAGUGGGUACGGGCAGACUAGAGUGCGGUAGGGGAGAUUGGAAUUCCUGGUGUAGCGGUGGAAUGCGCAGAUAUCAGGAGGAACACCGAUGGCGAAGGCAGAUCUCUGGGCCGUAACUGACGCUGAGGAGCGAAAGCAUGGGGAGCGAACAGG
RNAcentral lists this ribosomal RNA (253 nucleotides) under uncultured bacterium. RNAcentral's name for it is "partial 16S ribosomal RNA". It matches the Rfam family "Bacterial small subunit ribosomal RNA", at positions 524 to 776 of the family's 1533-position model. The record is from RNAcentral.